RNAcentral lists this long non-coding RNA (1166 nucleotides) under Zonotrichia albicollis (white-throated sparrow). RNAcentral describes it as "lncRNA (ENSZALG00000016805.1)". The record is from RNAcentral. Lineage: Eukaryota; Metazoa; Chordata; Aves; Passeriformes; Passerellidae.
AAGGAACAAUAUCACUCGAUGUAACCAGAGGCUUUUUAAGAGAGGACUGUCAGAGCCAAAUAGAUCCAGGCACAUUACGGGCCAGUUCUGCUUUCUGUGCGCUCUCAAAACUUGCAGAACAGCCAAGAAGAUUUUGGAGAAUGCCUGGAAUGCAAGAUCGGGCCCUGGCUAUAUUUUUUUCCUAAAGGCCAGGCUAACAACCAAAAUACUUUUAUCCUUACUUUGCCUGAAGACACGGCCAAAAACAGAAGAUUAGAAAACAAAACCAAAAAAAGCCGGGGCUGUGAAGGCCAUGAAAACUAAUGAUGCUGUUUCCAUAACACACUUUCAUCUCUAGGAACGCUGAAAACAUGUUAGAAAUGUAAGCACCUAUAGUGGGACUGCAGUCACUGCAAACAGCCUCUUCUGGAGUGAAAUACAGCAGCUGUUCAGCAGCACCACCGUCUCCAACUUUUUUUUACGAGUUCCCUGGGUUGUUAUGAUGUCCUUUCUGCCAAAAACAUGUUGUUCUGUUUAAAACCUGACCAUCUAAUUGCCAGCUAAAAAAAAAAAUGACAAAAAACAAACCAGAGAAGACAUAUUUUGACGCAGAGCAACAUUAAAAUGUUAAGUGCUGGGAACUUGCUGAAACACGGGGAUGUGUUUCCCAGCCUGUCAUUUCUGGACAAUCAGCCCAGCACAACUGAUCACACAGCAUACAUGACAGUCAUUUCCCACAUUUAUUGCCACAGUUUUUUCUAGUUUAAGACUAAUCUCCUCAGGGUUUUCUCUUGUUCUAAAUCUGUUCAGGCUGACUUCUGCUCCACAGACAGAGCCAUAAACAAGAAAAGGAAGCAGGCCCAGAGCUUCUAAGAAAUUAAAAGAGAAAUGCAAAGGGGGAGAAAAAAAAUAAUAAAAAUAAUAAUAAAAAGAAGCCGCGAGCCAGGAGUAAACCCAUUUGCUCUCAUCUCCUCCGCAAGGUGGCUGUGCUGCUCCCCGGACACAGCGGGGUGCUCAGGAGGCUUUGGGGGGCCUCUCUCCCCUCGCAGCGUGGUCGCGAUGAUCGGGAACAAACCCCCCCCCUUCGCCGCCUGUCACUCCGUGGCACGGCACCGCUGCAGCCCGCAAACAGCCCCUAGCCCUGGCCGGUGCCCCGGCGGGAUGGAAUUCCAUCUGCCGGCAGCAGG